AGAAAAUUAGUUAACCUAUAACAUUAGCUUGUCAUGCUAAAAUUAUCACAAGAUAUUUUCUU
Molecule: transfer RNA, 62 nt
Filed under: Tropostreptus microcephalus
Lineage: Eukaryota; Metazoa; Arthropoda; Diplopoda; Spirostreptida; Spirostreptidae
Also listed under: 1 other name
Description: tRNA-Asp
Source: RNAcentral